Molecule: ribosomal RNA, 450 nt
Filed under: uncultured bacterium
Lineage: Bacteria
Description: partial 16S ribosomal RNA
Rfam family: Bacterial small subunit ribosomal RNA
Source: RNAcentral
GUGGGGAAUCUUCCGCAAUGGACGAAAGUCUGACGGAGCAACGCCGCGUGAGUGAUGAAGGUCUUCGGAUUGUAAAGCUCUGUUAAUCGGGACGAAAGAGCCUAGUGUGAAUAAUGCUAGGAAGUGACGGUACCGGAAUAGAAAGCCACGGCUAACUACGUGCCAGCAGCCGCGGUAAUACGUAGGUGGCAAGCGUUGUCCGGAAUUAUUGGGCGUAAAGCGCGCGUAGGCGGAUCUGCCAGUCUGUCUUAAAAGUUCGGGGCUUAACCCCGUGAUGGGAUGGAAACUACAGAUCUAGAGUAUCGGAGAGGAAAGUGGAAUUCCUAGUGUAGCGGUGAAAUGCGUAGAUAUUAGGAGGAACACCAGUGGCGAAGGCGACUUUCUGGACGAAAACUGACGCUGAGGCGCGAAAGCCAGGGGAGCGAACGGGAUUAGAAACCCCAGUAGUCC